Molecule: unclassified non-coding RNA, 333 nt
Filed under: soil metagenome
Description: partial contains 5.8S ribosomal RNA, internal transcribed spacer 2, and large subunit ribosomal RNA
Rfam family: 5.8S ribosomal RNA (bases 1-120)
Source: RNAcentral
GAUGAAGAACGCAGCGAAAUGCGAUAAGUAGUGUGAAUUGCAGAAUUCAGUGAAUCAUCGAAUCUUUGAACGCACAUUGCGCCCCUCGGUAUUACGUGGGGCAUGCCUGUUCGAGCGUCAUUUACCCCUCAAGCACUGCUUGGUGUUGGGCGUCUGUCCCGCUUCGCGCGCGGACUCGCCCCAAAGGUAUUGGCAGCGGUCGUGCCAGCUUCUCGCGCAGCACAUUGCGCUUCUCGAGGCGGUCGAUCGGCGUCCACGAAGCUCACCUCCACCGUUUGACCUCGGAUCAGGUAGGGAUACCCGCUGAACUUAAGCAUAUCAAUAAGCGGAGGA